CGACAACCAACUAUUGAUUUUGUGAUUUUGUUGGUUGUUUUAAAUUAUGUAUCAUACAUUUUAAGAAUUCUUCUUUGGAUAAAGUUUUGAAGUGAAAAUGAAUGCUUAAAUAUUUAGGAGCACAACAUGGUUGGCCUUGAGAUAGUUAGGGACUGUCAUCUGGACUUGCCAUAGGUUGUGGGUUCGAUUCCCACCGGGAGCCUUGGGUGUUAUUGUGUUUGUUCGACUUUAACGACUGGAAAAAAUUGCCUAAUUUACUCGUUGAUAUAUGCAAAAACCUGGGGAGCCGUCUAAGUAAAGACGCGAGCACAUUGUAUUAAAGAGACAAAAACGCCAGAUAGUUGUGAACUUAGAAGAACUAACUGAUUUGAACGCUUUUAAAUCUCAUCCAAAACAAUCAGCUACUGCAAAUGUGAUGGCAAUGCCACAGUCAAAAUCAACUGAAAUGCAGCAUAUGAAACCGAGAUAGUGACAGAAACUUUGCUUUUUGAUUGAAAUUUUUAGAAUAGAAACAUUGUCUUAAAUAUACAACUUUGAUCAAUUACGGUCCAAUGGCGAACGAGGCGACGUAGUUAGACUUCUCAGACAUAUUACAAGAAUGCAAAACACAGUGCUUAGACAAAUGAAUAACGAGGCAGUC
Molecule: long non-coding RNA, 640 nt
Organism: Cylas formicarius (sweet potato weevil)
Lineage: Eukaryota; Metazoa; Arthropoda; Insecta; Coleoptera; Brentidae
Exons: 3
Source: RefSeq, a predicted model, not a curated record